CGGUGGGGCCCUGGACGCCAGCAGCUCCGGCAGAACGAGCUCUGCGUGCUGAGGACACAGGCUGCUGCUGCAGGAGGCUGGGGAGCUUGCAAACUCUGGGGCGUGGCCAGCAGCCUGCCAGACGUGGGGAGGUGUGUGCGACAGAUCCCCAGGUGUUUCGAAAUCACAGGUAAAGCUGCGGUGAGCGUCCCAGGACAUCACGUCACUUUGCACGUAUGCAAAAGUGCACCUGAAAGCUUUUGUUUCAGAAACUACAGAUAAGUCCUGACUCCUGGGAAAAACAGCCGACCUC
Molecule: long non-coding RNA, 292 nt
Organism: Phyllostomus hastatus (greater spear-nosed bat)
Lineage: Eukaryota; Metazoa; Chordata; Mammalia; Chiroptera; Phyllostomidae
Exons: 3
Source: RefSeq, a predicted model, not a curated record